Molecule: long non-coding RNA, 365 nt
Organism: Perca flavescens (yellow perch)
Lineage: Eukaryota; Metazoa; Chordata; Actinopteri; Perciformes; Percidae
Exons: 3
Source: RefSeq, a predicted model, not a curated record
CAUCACAAUUGUAUUUUACUAGUUGAAAAUAUCAAUGGCUCGCGCACCUGUUUCUCUGUAAUGACCUGAUCCUUGAUCAGAAAGUGGAGAAGCCGGGGGAACUUGGCCAUAGGGAACCUGUGGUUGGCUGGGAGCUCGCACGCAUAGCUGCUGUGAUGAACGACCGGAAGGGCGCUGGACUCCUGUCCUACCUGCAGGGUGGAAAGGCUCACUGUAAGGUUAAUACUGCCAUCUGCUGGGAUGGAGUGAAAACAACACGGAGUAUGAUGGGACUAAGGAACAAACGGAGGCUGCCCUAGCAUCACCAGAAGGGAGAGAUGAGGAGGAGAGGGAAAGCAAUAGACAAACAGGGAGACAGAGGCCAA